RNAcentral lists this ribosomal RNA (252 nucleotides) under uncultured bacterium. RNAcentral's name for it is "partial 16S ribosomal RNA". It matches the Rfam family "Bacterial small subunit ribosomal RNA", at positions 524 to 776 of the family's 1533-position model. The record is from RNAcentral.
UACGGGGGGGGCAAGCGUUGUUCGGAAUUACUGGGCGUAAAGGGCUCGUAGGCGCCAACUAAGUCAGACGUGAAAUCCCUCGGCUUAACCGGGGAACUGCAUCUGAUACUGGAUGGCUUGAGUUCGGGAGAGGGAUGCGGAAUUCCAGGUGUAGCGGUGAAAUGCGUAGAUAUCAGGAGGAACACCUGUGGCGAAAGCGGCUCACUGGACCAUAACUGACGCUGAUGCACGAAAGCUAGGGGAGCAAACAGG